UUUAAAGAGAGUUUGAUCCUGGCUCAGGACGAACGCUGGCGGCGUGCCUAAUACAUGCAAGUCGAACGAACGGAGGAAGAGCUUGCUCUUCCAAAGUUAGUGGCGGACGGGUGAGUAACACGUGGGCAACCUGCCUGUAAGUUGGGGAUAACUCCGGGAAACCGGG
Molecule: ribosomal RNA, 166 nt
Filed under: Listeria monocytogenes
Lineage: Bacteria; Bacillati; Bacillota; Bacilli; Caryophanales; Listeriaceae
Also listed under: 4 other names
Description: partial 16S ribosomal RNA
Rfam family: Bacterial small subunit ribosomal RNA
Source: RNAcentral